Molecule: ribosomal RNA, 1325 nt
Filed under: Salmonella enterica
Lineage: Bacteria; Pseudomonadati; Pseudomonadota; Gammaproteobacteria; Enterobacterales; Enterobacteriaceae
Description: bacterial SSU rRNA
Source: RNAcentral
AAAUUGAAGAGUUUGAUCAUGGCUCAGAUUGAACGCUGGCGGCAGGCCUAACACAUGCAAGUCGAACGGUAACAGGAAGCAGCUUGCUGCUUCGCUGACGAGUGGCGGACGGGUGAGUAAUGUCUGGGAAACUGCCUGAUGGAGGGGGAUAACUACUGGAAACGGUGGCUAAUACCGCAUAACGUCGCAAGACCAAAGAGGGGGACCUUCGGGCCUCUUGCCAUCAGAUGUGCCCAGAUGGGAUUAGCUGGUUGGUGAGGUAACGGCUCACCAAGGCGACGAUCCCUAGCUGGUCUGAGAGGAUGACCAGCCACACUGGAACUGAGACACGGUCCAGACUCCUACGGGAGGCAGCAGUGGGGAAUAUUGCACAAUGGGCGCAAGCCUGAUGCAGCCAUGCCGCGUGUAUGAAGAAGGCCUUCGGGUUGUAAAGUACUUUCAGCGGGGAGGAAGGUGUUGUGGUUAAUAACCGCAGCAAUUGACGUUACCCGCAGAAGAAGCACCGGCUAACUCCGUGCCAGCAGCCGCGGUAAUACGGAGGGUGCAAGCGUUAAUCGGAAUUACUGGGCGUAAAGCGCACGCAGGCGGUCUGUCAAGUCGGAUGUGAAAUCCCCGGGCUCAACCUGGGAACUGCAUUCGAAACUGGCAGGCUUGAGUCUUGUAGAGGGGGGUAGAAUUCCAGGUGUAGCGGUGAAAUGCGUAGAGAUCUGGAGGAAUACCGGUGGCGAAGGCGGCCCCCUGGACAAAGACUGACGCUCAGGUGCGAAAGCGUGGGGAGCAAACAGGAUUAGAUACCCUGGUAGUCCACGCCGUAAACGAUGUCUACUUGGAGGUUGUGCCCUUGAGGCGUGGCUUCCGGAGCUAACGCGUUAAGUAGACCGCCUGGGGAGUACGGCCGCAAGGUUAAAACUCAAAUGAAUUGACGGGGGCCCGCACAAGCGGUGGAGCAUGUGGUUUAAUUCGAUGCAACGCGAAGAACCUUACCUGGUCUUGACAUCCACRGAASUUUYCAGAGAUGMGAMUGUGCCUUCGGGAACYGUGAGACAGGUGCUGCAUGGCUGUCGUCAGCUCGUGUUGUGGUAGUCCGGAUUGGAGUCUGCAACUCGACUCCAUGAAGUCGGAAUCGCUAGUAAUCGUGGAUCAGAAUGCCACGGUGAAUACGUUCCCGGGCCUUGUACACACCGCCCGUCACACCAUGGGAGUGGGUUGCAAAAGAAGUAGGUAGCUUAACCUUCGGGAGGGCGCUUACCACUUUGUGAUUCAUGACUGGGGUGAAGUCGUAACAAGGUAACCGUAGGGGAACCUGCGGUUGGAUCACCUCCUUA